RNAcentral lists this ribosomal RNA (626 nucleotides) under uncultured fungus. RNAcentral describes it as "LSU rRNA". It matches the Rfam family "Eukaryotic large subunit ribosomal RNA", at positions 23 to 664 of the family's 3401-position model. Lineage: Eukaryota; Fungi. The record is from RNAcentral.
ACCCGCUGAACUUAAGCAUAUCAAUGAGCGGAGGAAAAGAAACCAACAGGGAUUGCCUCAGUAACGGCGAGUGAAGCGGCAACAGCUCAAAUUUGAAAUCUGGUCCUUUCAGGGCUCGAGUUGUAAUUUGUAGAGGAUGCUUCGGGGACUGCUCCGGUCUAAGUGCCUUGGAACAGGACGUCACAGAGGGUGAGAAUCCCGUAUGUGGUCGGUCGCCGUCCCCAUGUGAAGCUCCUUCGACGAGUCGGGUUGUUUGGGAAUGCAGCCCUAAAUGGGAGGUAAAUUUCUUCUAAAGCUAAAUACCGGCCAGAGACCGAUAGCGAACAAGUAGAGUGAUCGAAAGAUGAAAAGCACUUUGGAAAGAGAGUUAAAAAGCACGUGAAAUUGUUGAAAGGGAAGCGCUUGCAACCAGACUUGACCGCGGUUGCUUAGCCGGUCUUCUGACCGGUGUACUCUUCCGCGGGCAGGCCAGCAUCAGUUCGGGCGGUUGGAUAAAGGCUUCGGGAAUGUAGCUCCUCUCGGGGAGUGUUAUAGCCCGUUGCGAAAUGCAGCCCGCCCGGACUGAGGACCGCGCUUCGGCUAGGAUGCUGGCGUAAUGGUUGUAAGCGGCCCGUCUUGAAACACGG